AUGGUGCUUUACACUGACACAUUUCUGCACAAGGACUUUAAUUACUCUCACAGGGACCCUUCAUUUUGCAUGUUUUGCUGUUUCUGCCUUAAUCUUUCAGAGAUGUGGAGGGCUGUGUCCAGGGCGUCUGAAUUCCUUACAGGCAACUGGUUCUGGGGAAGAAACAGAAAGAAACAGAAGGAACAGGAUACAGUCAGGUUUCCAUGAAAAGAUGAAUCUGAGUUUAAACUGCUGAUAAGCCUAAGAAAAUAUGGAAUUUUCACCUCAAGAAGAGAGUCUGUGCCUAUCUUCUGAUACAUUUAUCAUGGACUAGAAAACUGAACAAUUUACCAUGUUCCUGUGGCUGCCCCUGGAUCCCUGGCAGUGCCCAAGGCCAGCUUGGACAUUGGGGCUGGAGCACCUGGGACACUGGGAGCUGGCCCUGCCAUGGCUGGGGUGGGAAUGGGUGAGUUUUAAGAUUCUUUCCAAACUGGGCCAUUUUGUGAUUCAAUGAUUCUGUGAUCAGUUCUGGAUAGCUCUCAACUAAACAAACUGUUACUC
This 540-nucleotide long non-coding RNA is filed under the name Cyanistes caeruleus (blue tit). RNAcentral describes it as "lncRNA (ENSCCEG00000019594.1)". The record is from RNAcentral. Lineage: Eukaryota; Metazoa; Chordata; Aves; Passeriformes; Paridae.